RNAcentral lists this ribosomal RNA (116 nucleotides) under Pteropus alecto (black flying fox). The record is from RNAcentral. Lineage: Eukaryota; Metazoa; Chordata; Mammalia; Chiroptera; Pteropodidae.
GUCUACGGCCAUGUCACCCUGAACAAGCCCCAUGUCUGAUCUCGGAAGCUAAGCAGCAUCGAGCCUGGUUAGUACUUGGAUGGGAGACCACCUAGGAAGACCGGAUGCUGUAGGCA